AUACACUGCUACAUACAAAGUAACUGAUCAGAGCACAACUUUUCAGUAUUCAAAACAGAAUAAGCUUCCCUGUAAAAGCAGCACCUUUGUGACAUUUUUAACUUUAGUUUUCCUCUCCUUCCUCUUCACCCUCUCCUUCAACAGAAUCCACACUAACCUCCUCAUAAUCCUCAAGGGCAGCCAUGUCCUCAUGGGCCUCAGAAAACUUUCUUUUCCUGCAUGCCCUCACCCACAUACCAGUGAACAAAGGCACGCUUGGCAUACAUCAGGUCAAACUUGUGGUCCAGGCGAGCCCAGGCCUCAGCAAUGGCUGCGGUGUUGCUCAGCAUGCACACAGCUCGCUGUACUUUGGCCAGGUCUCCACCAGGUACCACAGUGGGAGGCUGGUAAUUAAUACCAACUUUGAAGCCAGUGGGACACCAGUCCACAAACUGGAUGGUACGCUUGAUCUUGAUGGUGGCAAUGGCAGCACUGACAUCUUUGGGAACCACAUCACCACAGUACAACAGGCAGCAAGCCAUGUAUUUACGAUGGCAAGGGUCACAUUUCACCAUCUGGUUGGCUGGCUCAAAGGAUGCAUUGGUGAUCUCUGCUACAGAAAGCUGUUCACGGUAGGCUUUCUCAGCAGAGAUGACAGGGGCAUAUGUGGCCAGAGGGAGGUGGAUGCA
RNAcentral lists this long non-coding RNA (668 nucleotides) under Lynx pardinus (Iberian lynx). The record is from RNAcentral. Lineage: Eukaryota; Metazoa; Chordata; Mammalia; Carnivora; Felidae.